This is a non-coding RNA of Dermacentor andersoni, 1798 nucleotides long. The record is from RefSeq and is a predicted model, not a curated record. NCBI's taxonomy places the organism in Eukaryota, Metazoa, Arthropoda, Arachnida, Ixodida, Ixodidae.
GAUAGAAGCACCAGCCCUAUUGCCUUGCUGCCAGCAGCCAUACGUCAUUCUUUCGCUUGUACGAAAUAAGUUUAUUCUAAAAGCGCCUGCAUUUACAAUCUUUUUGUGCUUGGAAAUUUGCUGCUACGAAGCAGCUGUUUAACCUGUGGUAUGAAUGAAUAAUGAAUUUAAGCUUACCAGAAAAUGUGGACGUGUCAACAUUUUCAGAAAAUGCGCACGUGUCAAGAGCAGCUGUGAACGAUGGUUAGUGAUAAAUGAUGCUCUCUUAAAGGUUACUGACAUUACUGAAGGCACGAUAGUUCGCCUGGCGAUGAUAAAUAAUUGGAUGGUUUCGGCAACCCAAAUGCACUCGCAUAAUUGUCCACUUUACUUGUGUGAAGUUUUCUUUAAACACCUUUUAAAAGAUUUCUUGCCUUCCGGCCUCGACGAGACACAUUAUACGCUGCAAAAAAAAAAAAAAAAAAAAAACAUUGCACCACUUUUUAUUGUAAGGUACUGCGUGUUUAUGAACAAGAAAAUCAGACAUCCAGCCAAUCGUAGCAAUUGCUACGAUUGGGUGGAUGUCUAAUUCUUACUUUAUUAAUUACUUAUGUGCACCUUGUGGGUUUCCGCAAAACAAUUAAGCUAAGCAGUGCGUGUUUGCAUGCAAACUUUUUAGUUAUUCGAGCCGCGGUCGUAGUCAGGAUAUUCGUGCCGCGGGCCUAGUCAGGGGUGUCCAAUGCCCGAUAUGCAUGUUCGUGCGUGUCUGUGUGUGUGUACGUGUAUAUUAGUACAUAGAAACUAAAAAUUUCGGUGGGUUCGAACCCUAGCCUCCUCCAGCUACGCCACUGGUUCGAGCGGAGCCUGCAUUAGAAAGUGCCAUCUUGCUCAGCGCUUGUUCACAAUUGCAGUAUAUAGCUCGCGACCAGCAGACAAAAAAAAAGAAAGGAAAUAGACCACCGCGCGCCAUUCGCCUCCUGCGCGCGUGAGGAGUGGCUUCAUUGCAUAGCUGGAACAUAAAGCCGGGAUUAUGCGCAACUCUGCUCCCUGCGGGAGCACACAAAUGGACACUACUUCCCCGUAAAAUCCCUCAAUAAUUUAAACGUACCGACAGGCUUUGAUCUAGCCGACAACGCUUGCGAUAGGCUGAUCGGUGACAUGUGACCUUGCUCCGCCCCUUUGCCGCCAUGAAAGUUCCUGCGCGCCGGGCGAAGUGCGCGCGUUUCGCCUGUUGUGCUAUGCACAUCGCUGCAAUAAUUUUGUUCCGGGAGGGCCGAAAUGCCUUGUUGCUGUGCGGUUGGGUGCCAAAACCGGACGAAGGAUGGCAAGAAGGUAUUUCGCAUCACGCGCGCCAACCAGAACCUAACCAGACGAAAAGUAGGGUUACACAGAAUCGGACGGACGGACUUUUAACCGUCGGUGACAGCACGACUAUGCGAGGCAACAUACAACGAUACAAAGGUGCGAUAGAAAGUAUACACGUGCGUGUGUCGAGCGGUGAUAGUAUUUCACUCGCGCGCAUGAAUGUUGAGGGCCGAAGUUUGUGGAGAUUAUUUAUUUUAGUUCGUUGUGAGCCCGCUGAAUGGAUCAGUAUGACCUAGGAUGCGAAGGACCGAGUAGCCUUGUUGCUGUGCGGAUGGGUGCCGAGAUGAGACGGAGGACUACAAGAAGUUAUUUUGCAUUCAGCGCGGCAAACAAAACCUAACAAGAAGGGAACUGAAUUAACGAACAUAAGGAUACUGGGACCCCUCUGGACAUUUUGUUACAUGGUAUUUGCAAGAACCUCGACACUCUUUAGGGCAAGCGAUUGAACUUUCCU